RNAcentral lists this ribosomal RNA (449 nucleotides) under uncultured bacterium. RNAcentral describes it as "bacterial SSU rRNA". It matches the Rfam family "Bacterial small subunit ribosomal RNA", at positions 355 to 796 of the family's 1533-position model. The record is from RNAcentral.
UGGGGAAUUUUGGACAAUGGGGGCAACCCUGAUCCAGCCAUGCCGCGUGUGUGAAGAAGGCCUUCGGGUUGUAAAGCACUUUUGUCCGGAACGAAACGGCGGAUGCCAAUACCAUCCGUUAAUGACGGUACCGGAAGAAUAAGCACCGGCUAACUACGUGCCAGCAGCCGCGGUAAUACGUAGGGUGCAAGCGUUAAUCGGAAUUACUGGGCGUAAAGCGUGCGCAGGCGGUUUCGCAAGUCAGAUGUGAAAUCCCCGGGCUUAACCUGGGAACUGCAUUUGAAACUACGAGGCUAGAGUGUGUCAGAGGGGGGUAGAAUUCCACGUGUAGCAGUGAAAUGCGUAGAGAUGUGGAGGAAUACCGAUGGCGAAGGCAGCCCCCUGGGAUAACACUGACGCUCAUGCACGAAAGCGUGGGGAGCAAACAGGAUUAGAUACCCGUGUAGUCC